AGUGGCAAACGGGUGAGUAACACGUAGAUAACUUGCCUCGGAGUCGGGAAUAGCUCGUCGAAAGACGGGGUAAUAUCCGAUAGUCUCUAUUUACUUUUAGUGUUUUAGAGUAAAGCUUUUGUGCUCCGAGAGAGGUCUGCGUCCUAUCAGCUAGUUGGUGAGGUAAUGGCUCACCAAGGCUAAGACGGGUAGCUGGUGUGAGAGCACGGUCAGCCACCAUGGAACUGAGACACGGUCCAUACUCCUACGGGAGGCAGCAAUUAGGAAUCUUGCGCAAUGGGGGCAACCCUGACGCAGCGACACAGCGUGGAGGAUGAAGGUCUUCGGAUUGUAAACUCCUUUUAUAUGGGAAGAAUAGAUGACUGUACCAUAUGAAUAAGGACCUGCUAACUACGUGCCAGAAGCAUCGGUGAUGCGUAGGGUCCGAACGUUAUCCGGAUUUAUUGGGUGUAUAGAGAUGCGUAGGCGGUUUGAUAAGUCUUGAGUUAAAGACCUCGGCUUAACCGAGGAAAAGCUUUCGAAACUAUCAGACUUGAGGCAUAGAGGGGUGAACGGAACUCCGAGUGGAGUGGUGAAAUACGUUGAUAUUCGGAAGAACAUCAGUGGCGAAGGCGGUUCACUGGCUAUUGCCUGACGCUCAGGCUCGAAAGCGUGGGUAGCAAAACGGAUUAGAUACCCGUGUAGUCCACGCUGUAAACUAUGGAUGCUAGGUGUUUGGUACAACUGUUUUUAACCUUCGGGUUUUAAACGGAAGUGCUGAGUGCCGCAGCUAACGCGUUAAGCAUCCCACCUGGGAAGUACGGCCGCAAGGCUAAAACUCAAAUGAAUUGGCGGGGACCCGCACAAGCGGAGGAGCGCGUG
This 861-nucleotide ribosomal RNA is filed under the name uncultured bacterium. Its description in RNAcentral is "bacterial SSU rRNA". It matches the Rfam family "Bacterial small subunit ribosomal RNA", at positions 94 to 943 of the family's 1533-position model. The record is from RNAcentral.